CUACAGCCGGCUACAGGCAGGUUUCUCUGUGAUUACUCACGGACUUGUCUUCUGACCGAAGAAGAAGUCAGACAGACUUGGACGUCAGCAAAUUUCAUCACAAUGAAGGCGAUUUAAACUAAAAGAACCGCACGAGGCUUGAAAGAGAUAGAUGUGCAGGCAGACAGGAACGCCCAGCUGGAGUGUCAGGGUCCUAAAAAAGCCAAACUUGUCCUGUUAGAGUGGAAAAGACUUGAUCUACUGUCGGAUGGAUACGUCUUCUUCUACCGAGAUGGUCAUCUACAUAAAACCUUCCAGCAUCCGACUUUUAGAGAUCGAGUGGAACUGAGAGAUCCACAGAUGAAAAAUGGGAACAUGUCCAUCAUUUUGUACAACACCACAAUUAAAGACACUGGAACGUAUGAGUGCCGUAUCAUCGCACAAAACAUAAGAGACAGUAGCAGCCCUACCUUUGAGAUCAAGCAUGAAAUCAAGCUGACAGUUGUUCCUCCAGGUCACACACAAGAGGUCACAGCGCCUAGAGAUGAAGAAAAUGAGGAGAAUAAGGACGUGGGGAACGAGGAUGAAAGAGAUGGAGGAUUUAUUGGACUGGCAGGUGGUCUGUUAGCUUUGGUGGUGAUUGUUAUUGUCGUGUUCUCUUACAAUGUGUUUUCCUCUUCCUCCUGUUGUAAACACAAAAGUAGCGAAACAUAAUUGCUAGUAUAAUUACUGUCCUUAUUAAGGAAAUAUAUAUAUAUAUAUAUAUAUAUAUAUAUAUGGUGUUUCCUUAAUAGGGACAGAGACCAAGAGUAAUUCACACACACUGCAGUAUUUAAAAUCCACAAUGUAAACAUUCUUAUUUUUACUCUUACUAAAAUGGUGUGGAAAGAAAUUGUUUGCUUGUUGAUAAAGUCUGACCUAGUAAAAGGACAAGGUAAAUUAAUAACAUUUUCUGUGUUUGUUAUUCCGUUGAGCUCUCGUCUGUGAUAUUAAAGUAGUAACAUACUUUUUGCUUUGUAUUUUUUAAUAUUUGUUUCCACCAGCUGGCAGCAAAAAAUAAUGAAAGCUAAGCAAAAUAGUUGGAGAAGCACACAAAACACAGCACACGUG
Molecule: long non-coding RNA, 1089 nt
Organism: Oreochromis aureus
Lineage: Eukaryota; Metazoa; Chordata; Actinopteri; Cichliformes; Cichlidae
Source: Ensembl